RNAcentral lists this ribosomal RNA (216 nucleotides) under Glomeromycotina sp. Its description in RNAcentral is "partial small subunit ribosomal RNA". The stretch from base 40 to 216 matches the Rfam family "Eukaryotic small subunit ribosomal RNA", at positions 686 to 864 of the family's 1831-position model. Lineage: Eukaryota; Fungi; Glomeromycota. The record is from RNAcentral.
GGGUCAGUAGGUUGGUCGUGCCACCGGUACGUACUGGUCUCACUGAUUCCUCCUUCCUGAAGAACCGUAAUGCCAUUAAUUUGGUGUUGCGGGGAAACAGGACUGUUACUUUGAAAAAAUUAGAGUGUUUAAAGCAAGCUAACGCUUGAAUACAUUAGCAUCGAAUCAUGAAAUAGGACGAUCGAUCCUAUUUUGUUGGUUUCUAGGAUUGACGUA